This is a non-coding RNA of Oncorhynchus gorbuscha (pink salmon), 115 nucleotides long. RefSeq annotates it as small Cajal body-specific RNA 8. The transcript has a single exon. The record is from RefSeq and is a predicted model, not a curated record. NCBI's taxonomy places the organism in Eukaryota, Metazoa, Chordata, Actinopteri, Salmoniformes, Salmonidae.
UGGGAGGCAGAUACCUGGUCAGUCCUGAGCUGUGCUCUGUCCGUCACAUACCUGCUCUCUGAUGACCAGGGCGAGUUGAAUGAAAUCGCAAUGGACAGAUACGGAGCAGACAACC